UACAGAGGUGGCAAGCGUUGUUCGGAAUUACUGGGCGUAAAGGGCGCGUAGGCGGCCUACUAAGUCAGACGUGAAAUCCCCCGGCUUAACCUGGGAACUGCGUCUGAUACUGGAAGGCUUGAGGAUGGGAGAGGGAUGUAGAAUUCCAGGUGUAGCGGUGAAAUGCGUAGAUAUCUGGAGGAACACCGGUGGCGAAGGCGGCUAUCUGGCCCAACAUUGACACUGAAGCACGAAAGCGUGGGGAUCAAACAGG
Molecule: ribosomal RNA, 253 nt
Filed under: uncultured bacterium
Lineage: Bacteria
Description: partial 16S ribosomal RNA
Rfam family: Bacterial small subunit ribosomal RNA
Source: RNAcentral